GUACUUCUUCUGUACCUUAUAUUGCUUAGUUAAAUGUUUCCAAAGGCUUCAUGCUCUUUUCAUAAUGUUGCUUUUUCUAGAUAUAAAGACCUGAAGAUAGUCUUUUCUGUCCAAAGAUGGAAAACAGUACUACUACCAUUUCUCGGGAGGAGCUUGAAGAACUACAAGAGGCAUUUAAUAAAAUAGAUAUUGACAAUAGUGGGUAUGUCAGUGACUAUGAACUUCAAGACCUGUUUAAGGAAGCAAGCCUUCCUCUGCCUGGCUACAAGGUGCGCGAGAUUGUGGAGAAAAUUCUAUCAGUUGCUGACAGCAACAAAGAUGGCAAAAUCAGUUUUGAAGAGUUUGUGUCACUAAUGCAAGAAUUAAAAAGCAAAGAUAUCAGCAAAACAUUCCGAAAAAUAAU
RNAcentral lists this small RNA (403 nucleotides) under Pongo abelii (Sumatran orangutan). Its description in RNAcentral is "retained intron". Lineage: Eukaryota; Metazoa; Chordata; Mammalia; Primates; Hominidae. The record is from RNAcentral.